This 1204-nucleotide ribosomal RNA is filed under the name uncultured cyanobacterium. RNAcentral's name for it is "partial 16S ribosomal RNA". It matches the Rfam family "Bacterial small subunit ribosomal RNA", at positions 28 to 1399 of the family's 1533-position model. The record is from RNAcentral. Lineage: Bacteria; Bacillati; Cyanobacteriota.
GAUGAACGCUGGCGGUAUGCCUAACGCAUGCAAGUCGAACGGAGUGGCGGACGGGUGAGUAACGCGUGAGAAUCUGCCUUCAGGAUGGGGACAACAGUUGGAAACGACUGCUAAUACCCGAUACCUGGAGAUGAGCUCGCGUCAGAUUAGCUAGAUGGUGUGGUAAAGGCGCACCAUGGCGACGAUCUGUAGCUGGUCUGAGAGGAUGAGCAGCCACACUGGGACUGAGACACGGCCCAGACUCCUACGGGAGGCAGCAGUGGGGAAUUUUCCGCAAUGGGCGCAAGCCUGACGGAGCAAUACCGCGUGAGGGAGGAAGGCUCUCGGGUCGUAAACCUCUUUUCUCAGGGAAGCGGUACCUGAGGAAUCAGCAUCGGCUAACUCCGUGCCAGCAGCCGCGGCAAUACGGAGGAUGCAAGCGUUAUCCGGAAUGAUUGGGCGUAAAGCGUCCGUAGGUGGUUUUGUAAGUCCGUGGUUAAAGCGUGUAGCUCAACUACAUAACGGCCAUGGAAACUACAAGACUUGAGUGAAGUAGGGGUAGAGGGAAUUCCCAGUGUAGCGGUGAAAUGCGUAGAGAUUGGGAAGAACACCGGUGGCGAAAGCGCUCUACUGGACUUAUACUGACACUGAGGGACGAAAGCUAGGGGAGCGAAAGGGAUUAGAUACCCCUGUAGUCCUAGCCGUAAACGAUGGAUACUAGGUGUUGCCCAGUGCCGUAGCUAACGCGUUAAGUAUCCCGCCUGGGGAGUACGCACGCAAGUGUGAAACUCAAAGGAAUUGACGGGGGCCCGCACAAGCGGUGGAGUAUGUGGUUUAAUUCGAUGCAACGCGAAGAACCUUACCAGGGCUUGACAUGCAGGUGGUGCAUGGCUGUCGUCAGCUCGUGUCGUGAGAUGUUGGGUUAAGUCCCGCAACGAGCGCAACCCUCGUUUUUAGUUGCCACUCUAGAAAGACUGCCGGUGACAAACCGGAGGAAGGUGGGGAUGACGUCAAGUCAGCAUGCCCCUUACGCCCUGGGCUACACACGUACUACAAUGCUAUGGACAAAGGGCAGCCAACUGGCGACAGUGCGCUAAUCCCAUAAACCAUGGCUCAGUUCAGAUUGCAGGCUGCAACUCGCCUGCAUGAAGGCGGAAUCGCUAGUAAUCGCAGGUCAGCAUACUGCGGUGAAUCCGUUCCCGGGCCUUGCACACACCGCCCGUCA